This 150-nucleotide small nuclear RNA is filed under the name Marmota marmota marmota (Alpine marmot). RNAcentral describes it as "U4 spliceosomal RNA (ENSMMMG00000011405.1)". The stretch from base 1 to 126 matches the Rfam family "U4 spliceosomal RNA". From Rfam's summary of the family: U4 small nuclear RNA (U4 snRNA) is a component of the major U2-dependent spliceosome. Lineage: Eukaryota; Metazoa; Chordata; Mammalia; Rodentia; Sciuridae. The record is from Rfam by way of RNAcentral.
AGCUUUGCGCAGUGGCAGUAUCGUAGCCAAUGAGGUUUAUCCGAGGCGCGAUUAUUGCUAAUUGAAAACUUUUCCCAUAGCCUCUUUCCUUCCCAGCCAUUCAUGUCAGGUAGUCUUUCGUCCUAUACCUUUGGUACCUGCUUAAAAGCA